This 79-nucleotide transfer RNA is filed under the name Saccharomyces cerevisiae (brewer's yeast). It matches the Rfam family "tRNA". From Rfam's summary of the family: Transfer RNA (tRNA) molecules are approximately 80 nucleotides in length. Lineage: Eukaryota; Fungi; Ascomycota; Saccharomycetes; Saccharomycetales; Saccharomycetaceae. The record is from RNAcentral.
GGCAACGCCGAGUGGUUAAGGCGAAAGAUUAGAAAUCUUUUGGGCUUUGCCCGCGCAGGUUCGAGUCCUGCAGUUGUCG